UACGGAGGGUGCAAGCGUUAUCCGGAUUCACUGGGUUUAAAGGGUGCGUAGGUGGAGUGGUAAGUCAGUGGUGAAAUCUCCAAGCUUAACUUGGAAACUGCCGUUGAUACUAUCAUUCUUGAAUAUCGUGGAGGUAAGCGGAAUAUGUCAUGUAGCGGUGAAAUGCUUAGAUAUGACAUAGAACACCGAUUGCGAAGGCAGCUUGCUACACGAUCAUUGACACUGAGGCACGAAAGCGUGGGGAUCAAACAGG
Molecule: ribosomal RNA, 253 nt
Filed under: uncultured bacterium
Lineage: Bacteria
Also listed under: 1 other name
Description: partial 16S ribosomal RNA
Rfam family: Bacterial small subunit ribosomal RNA
Source: RNAcentral